UGAUAGAGAAUACUCAUGACUUACAGC
This 27-nucleotide non-coding RNA is filed under the name Cricetulus griseus (Chinese hamster). The record is from RNAcentral. Lineage: Eukaryota; Metazoa; Chordata; Mammalia; Rodentia; Cricetidae.